Molecule: ribosomal RNA, 474 nt
Filed under: uncultured bacterium
Lineage: Bacteria
Description: bacterial SSU rRNA
Rfam family: Bacterial small subunit ribosomal RNA
Source: RNAcentral
GACGAACGCUGGCGGCGUGCCUAACACAUGCAAGUCGAACGAGGUCCAUCCUUCGGGAGAAGACCUAGUGGCGAACGGGUGAGUAACACGUGAAGAACCUGCCCCGAAGACCGGGAUAACCCUCCGAAAGGAGAGCUAAUACCGGAUACCCCCACCGAACCGCAUGGUUUGGUGAGGAAAUGGAUUCCGCUUCGGGAGGGCUUCGCGGCCUAUCAGCUAGUUGGUGGGGUAACGGCCCACCAAGGCAUCGACGGUAGCUGGUCUGAGAGGACGAUCAGCCACACUGGGACUGAGACACGGCCCAGACUCCUACGGGAGGCAGCAGUGGGGAAUCUUGCGCAAUGGGCGAAAGCCUGACGCAGCAACGCCGCGUGGGGGAUGGAAGGCUCUCGGGUUGGUAAACCCCUUUCAGCAGGGACGAAUCAAGACGGUACCUGCAGAAGAAGCCCCGGCUAACUACGUGCCAGCAGCCGC